UACUAUAUCUUAUAUAAACAUUCAUAUAUGCCACUCUCACGAUUCACCGCCUACAGUGAUGGAUGAUGAUGAUAUUUUGUGCUAAGAUAAAUGAUGAUAUCCUGGCCGAACAGACCAAACAGGAGACGCAGAGAGAGAGAGAGAAGAGGCACGCAGGUUGUGUCAUCUGGAUUCCUAGGAAGUAGAAGAGAAACUGGCAGGGUUACCGAGAUGGAGCCUCUGCUUUAUCUACUGGAGCACCUGGAAGAGAGUCCUAGAUUCAAACACAGCACCCUUUUGCUGCGAGGCCACUGUGCUUACCACCGCUGCUCUGUGCCGUCUGUGCCGCGAGUCAACUCUAACAAAAUCAGGAAGGAAGACCAUUCUGUGACCAUGGAAGG
Molecule: long non-coding RNA, 380 nt
Organism: Seriola aureovittata
Lineage: Eukaryota; Metazoa; Chordata; Actinopteri; Carangiformes; Carangidae
Exons: 3
Source: RefSeq, a predicted model, not a curated record